Molecule: non-coding RNA, 72 nt
Organism: Colletotrichum spaethianum
Lineage: Eukaryota; Fungi; Ascomycota; Sordariomycetes; Glomerellales; Glomerellaceae
Source: the annotation of a RefSeq genome assembly
GGCCGGCUGGCGCAAUGGUAGCGCGUCAGACUUCUAAUCUGAAGGCUGCGGGUUCGAGCCCCGCGCUGGUCA